RNAcentral lists this ribosomal RNA (492 nucleotides) under uncultured bacterium. RNAcentral's name for it is "bacterial SSU rRNA". It matches the Rfam family "Bacterial small subunit ribosomal RNA", at positions 28 to 519 of the family's 1533-position model. The record is from RNAcentral.
GACGAACGCUGGCGGCGUGCUUAACACAUGCAAGUCGAGCGGUAAGGCCCUUUCGGGGGUACACGAGCGGCGAACGGGUGAGUAACACGUGGGUGACCUGCCCUCAGCUCUGGGAUAAGCCUGGGAAACCGGGUCUAAUACCGGAUAUGACUCCAUGACGCAUGUUGUGGGGUGGAAAGCCUUGUGCGGCUGAGGAUGGGCCCGCGGCCUAUCAGCUUGUUGGUGGGGUGAUGGCCUACCAAGGCGAAGACGGGUAGCUGGUCUGAGAGGAUGAUCAGCCACACUGGAACUGAGACACGGUCCAGACUCCUACGGGAGGCAGCAGUGGGGAAUAUUGCGCAAUGGGCGAAAGCCUGACGCAGCCACGCCGCGUGAGCGAUGAAGGACUUCGGUUCGUAAAGCUCUGUGGGGGANAAGAAUCAAGCCGGUGAAGAGCCGGCCCUGACGGUAUCCCUUUAGCAAGCACCGGCUAACUCCGUGCCAGCCGCCGCU